AUCGCUUCUCGGCCUUUUGGCUAAGAUCAAGUGCAGAAUGUUGUCAAUCUGAUAAGUAAAGUGUAUCUCAAUAUAAUUUAAAAAUCUUCUUUAGUGAGCUAUGAUUUUCAUCUGAUAAAAUGAACUCAUAUUAAUUGUACACUUCAAAGAGUUUUGACAAA
RNAcentral lists this small nuclear RNA (161 nucleotides) under Pteropus alecto (black flying fox). RNAcentral describes it as "U2 spliceosomal RNA". It matches the Rfam family "U2 spliceosomal RNA". From Rfam's summary of the family: U2 is a small nuclear RNA (snRNA) component of the spliceosome (involved in pre-mRNA splicing). Complementary binding between U2 snRNA (in an area lying towards the 5' end but 3' to hairpin I) and the branchpoint sequence (BPS) of the intron results the bulging out of an unpaired adenosine, on the BPS, which initiates a nucleophilic attack at the intronic 5' splice site, thus starting the first of two transesterification reactions that mediate splicing. Lineage: Eukaryota; Metazoa; Chordata; Mammalia; Chiroptera; Pteropodidae. The record is from Rfam by way of RNAcentral.